RNAcentral lists this ribosomal RNA (492 nucleotides) under uncultured bacterium. Its description in RNAcentral is "partial 16S ribosomal RNA". It matches the Rfam family "Bacterial small subunit ribosomal RNA", at positions 29 to 507 of the family's 1533-position model. The record is from RNAcentral.
AGUGAACGCUGGCGGUAUGCCUAACACAUGCAAGUCGAACGGCAGCACAGUAAGAGCUUGCUCUUACGGGUGGCGGGUGGGGGACGGGUGAGGAAUGCACCGGACUCUACUUUUUCGUGGGGGAUAACGUAGGGAGACUUACACUAAUACCGCAUACCACCUGCGGGUGAGGGCCGUGGAUCUUCGGACCUUGAGCGAUUGCAUGAGCCGAUGUCGGAUUAGCUAGUUGGCGGGGUAAAGGCCUACCAAGGCGACGAUCCGUAGCUGGUCUGAGAGGACGACCAGCCACACUGGAACUGAGACACGGUCCAGACUCCUACGGGAGGCAGCAGUGGGGAAUUUUGGACAAUGGGCGAAAGCCUGAUCCAGCAAUGCCGCGUGGGUGAAGAAGGCCUUCGGGUUGUAAAGCACUUUUGUUGGGAAAGAAAAGCAGCAGGUUAAUACGCUGCUGUGAUGACGGUACCCAAAGAAUAAGCACCGGCUAACUACGUG